This 815-nucleotide ribosomal RNA is filed under the name Streptomyces olivaceus. RNAcentral describes it as "bacterial SSU rRNA". It matches the Rfam family "Bacterial small subunit ribosomal RNA", at positions 59 to 889 of the family's 1533-position model. The record is from RNAcentral. Lineage: Bacteria; Bacillati; Actinomycetota; Actinomycetes; Kitasatosporales; Streptomycetaceae.
CAGUCGAACGAUGAAGCCUUUCGGGGUGGAUUAGUGGCGAACGGGUGAGUAACACGUGGGCAAUCUGCCCUUCACUCUGGGACAAGCCCUGGAAACGGGGUCUAAUACCGGAUAACACUCUGUCCCGCAUGGGACGGGGUUGAAAGCUCCGGCGGUGAAGGAUGAGCCCGCGGCCUAUCAGCUUGUUGGUGGGGUAAUGGCCUACCAAGGCGACGACGGGUAGCCGGCCUGAGAGGGCGACCGGCCACACUGGGACUGAGACACGGCCCAGACUCCUACGGGAGGCAGCAGUGGGGAAUAUUGCACAAUGGGCGAAAGCCUGAUGCAGCGACGCCGCGUGAGGGAUGACGGCCUUCGGGUUGUAAACCUCUUUCAGCAGGGAAGAAGCGAAAGUGACGGUACCUGCAGAAGAAGCGCCGGCUAACUACGUGCCAGCAGCCGCGGUAAUACGUAGGGCGCAAGCGUUGUCCGGAAUUAUUGGGCGUAAAGAGCUCGUAGGCGGCUUGUCACGUCGGAUGUGAAAGCCCGGGGCUUAACCCCGGGUCUGCAUUCGAUACGGGCUAGCUAGAGUGUGGUAGGGGAGAUCGGAAUUCCUGGUGUAGCGGUGAAAUGCGCAGAUAUCAGGAGGAACACCGGUGGCGAAGGCGGAUCUCUGGGCCAUUACUGACGCUGAGGAGCGAAAGCGUGGGGAGCGAACAGGAUUAGAUACCCUGGUAGUCCACGCCGUAAACGUUGGGAACUAGGUGUUGGCGACAUUCCACGUCGUCGGUGCCGCAGCUAACGCAUUAAGUUCCCCGCCUGGGGAGUACGGCCGC